RNAcentral lists this ribosomal RNA (1942 nucleotides) under Salmonella enterica. RNAcentral describes it as "partial 23S ribosomal RNA". It matches the Rfam family "Bacterial large subunit ribosomal RNA", at positions 962 to 2802 of the family's 2925-position model. The record is from RNAcentral. RNAcentral also lists the same sequence under 3 other names. Lineage: Bacteria; Pseudomonadati; Pseudomonadota; Gammaproteobacteria; Enterobacterales; Enterobacteriaceae.
CCGGAGAAUGUUAUCACGGGAGACACACGGCGGGUGCUAACGUCCGUCGUGAAGAGGGAAACAACCCAGACCGCCAGCUAAGGUCCCAAAGUCAUGGUUAAGUGGGAAACGAUGUGGGAAGGCCCAGACAGCCAGGAUGUUGGCUUAGAAGCAGCCAUCAUUUAAAGAAAGCGUAAUAGCUCACUGGUCGAGUCGGCCUGCGCGGAAGAUGUAACGGGGCUAAACCAUGCACCGAAGCUGCGGCAGCGAACGUAUCACCCAAGACAACUUUACGGAGUUGACGAUUGACGGAGCGAAGCGACGUCAAAGCGUUCAUUAAAGUCGAGUUGGCUUAGGGAUACGUUCGUUGGGUAGGGGAGCGUUCUGUAAGCCUGUGAAGGUGUGUCGUGAGGCAUGCUGGAGGUAUCAGAAGUGCGAAUGCUGACAUAAGUAACGAUAAAGCGGGUGAAAAGCCCGCUCGCCGGAAGACCAAGGGUUCCUGUCCAACGUUAAUCGGGGCAGGGUGAGUCGACCCCUAAGGCGAGGCCGAAAGGCGUAGUCGAUGGGAAACGGGUUAAUAUUCCCGUACUUGGUGUUACUGCGAAGGGGGGACGGAGAAGGCUAUGUUGGCCGGGCGACGGUUGUCCCGGUUUAAGCGUGUAGGUGUGUGUUCCAGGUAAAUCCGGUUCACUUUAACACUGAGGCGUGACGACGAGGCACUACGGUGCUGAAGCAACAAAUGCCCUGCUUCCAGGAAAAGCCUCUAAGCAUCAGGUAACACGAAAUCGUACCCCAAACCGACACAGGUGGUCAGGUAGAGAAUACCAAGGCGCUUGAGAGAACUCGGGUGAAGGAACUAGGCAAAAUGGUGCCGUAACUUCGGGAGAAGGCACGCUGACACGUAGGUGAAGUGAUUUACUCAUGGAGCUGAAGUCAGUCGAAGAUACCAGCUGGCUGCAACUGUUUAUUAAAAACACAGCACUGUGCAAACACGAAAGUGGACGUAUACGGUGUGACGCCUGCCCGGUGCCGGAAGGUUAAUUGAUGGGGUCAGCGCAAGCGAAGCUCCUGAUCGAAGCCCCGGUAAACGGCGGCCGUAACUAUAACGGUCCUAAGGUAGCGAAAUUCCUUGUCGGGUAAGUUCCGACCUGCACGAAUGGCGUAAUGAUGGCCAGGCUGUCUCCACCCGAGACUCAGUGAAAUUGAACUCGCUGUGAAGAUGCAGUGUACCCGCGGCAAGACGGAAAGACCCCGUGAACCUUUACUAUAGCUUGACACUGAACAUUGAGCCUUGAUGUGUAGGAUAGGUGGGAGGCUUUGAAGUGUGGACGCCAGUCUGCAUGGAGCCGACCUUGAAAUACCACCCUUUAAUGUUUGAUGUUCUAACGUGGACCCGUAAUCCGGGUUGCGGACAGUGUCUGGUGGGUAGUUUGACUGGGGCGGUCUCCUCCUAAAGAGUAACGGAGGAGCACGAAGGUUGGCUAAUCCUGGUCGGACAUCAGGAGGUUAGUGCAAUGGCAUAAGCCAGCUUGACUGCGAGCGUGACGGCGCGAGCAGGUGCGAAAGCAGGUCAUAGUGAUCCGGUGGUUCUGAAUGGAAGGGCCAUCGCUCAACGGAUAAAAGGUACUCCGGGGAUAACAGGCUGAUACCGCCCAAGAGUUCAUAUCGACGGCGGUGUUUGGCACCUCGAUGUCGGCUCAUCACAUCCUGGGGCUGAAGUAGGUCCCAAGGGUAUGGCUGUUCGCCAUUUAAAGUGGUACGCGAGCUGGGUUUAGAACGUCGUGAGACAGUUCGGUCCCUAUCUGCCGUGGGCGCUGGAGAACUGAGGGGGGCUGCUCCUAGUACGAGAGGACCGGAGUGGACGCAUCACUGGUGUUCGGGUUGUCAUGCCAAUGGCACUGCCCGGUAGCUAAAUGCGGAAGAGAUAAGUGCUGAAAGCAUCUAAGCACGAAACUUGCCCCGA